GACGAGCGGCGGACGGGUGAGUAAUGUCUGGGAAACUGCCUGAUGGAGGGGGAUAACUACUGGAAACGGUAGCUAAUACCGCAUAACGUCGCAAGACCAAAGUGGGAGAGCUUCGGGCCUCACGCCAUCAGAUGUGCCCCAGAUGGGAUUAGCUAGUAGGUGGGGUAAUGGCUCACCUAGGCGACGAUCCCUAGCUGGUCUGAGAGGAUGACCAGCCACACUGGAACUGAGACACGGUCCAG
RNAcentral lists this ribosomal RNA (242 nucleotides) under uncultured bacterium. RNAcentral describes it as "partial 16S ribosomal RNA". It matches the Rfam family "Bacterial small subunit ribosomal RNA", at positions 90 to 334 of the family's 1533-position model. The record is from RNAcentral.